RNAcentral lists this ribosomal RNA (2769 nucleotides) under Escherichia coli. RNAcentral describes it as "bacterial LSU rRNA". The stretch from base 1 to 1777 matches the Rfam family "Bacterial large subunit ribosomal RNA". Lineage: Bacteria; Pseudomonadati; Pseudomonadota; Gammaproteobacteria; Enterobacterales; Enterobacteriaceae. The record is from RNAcentral.
UUAAGCGACUAAGCGUACACGGUGGAUGCCCUGGCAGUCAGAGGCGAUGAAGGACGUGCUAAUCUGCGAUAAGCGUCGGUAAGGUGAUAUGAACCGUUAUAACCGGCGAUUUCCGAAUGGGGAAACCCAGUGUGAUUCGUCACACUAUCAUUAACUGAAUCCAUAGGUUAAUGAGGCGAACCGGGGGAACUGAAACAUCUAAGUACCCGAGGAAAAGAAAUCAACCGAGAUUCCCCCAGUAGCGGCGAGCGAACGGGGAGGAGCCCAGAGCCUGAAUCAGUGUGUGUGUUAGUGGAAGCGUCUGGAAAGGCGCGCGAUACAGGGUGACAGCCCCGUACACAAAAAUGCACAUACUGUGAGCUCGAUGAGUAGGGCGGGACACGUGGUAUCCUGUCUGAAUAUGGGGGGACCAUCCUCCAAGGCUAAAUACUCCUGACUGACCGAUAGUGAACCAGUACCGUGAGGGAAAGGCGAAAGAACCCCGGCGAGGGGAGUGAAAAAGAACCUGAAACCGUGUACGUACAAGCAGUGGGAGCACGCUUCGGCGUGUGACUGCGUACCUUUUGUAUAAUGGGUCAGCGACUUAUAUUCUGUAGCAAGGUUAACCGAAUAGGGGAGCCGAAGGGAAACCGAGUCUUAACUGGGCGUUAAGUUGCAGGGUAUAGACCCGAAACCCGGUGAUCUAGCCAUGGGCAGGUUGAAGGUUGGGUAACACUAACUGGAGGACCGAACCGACUAAUGUUGAAAAAUUAGCGGAUGACUUGUGGCUGGGGGUGAAAGGCCAAUCAAACCGGGAGAUAGCUGGUUCUCCCCGAAAGCUAUUUAGGUAGCGCCUCGUGAAUUCAUCUCCGGGGGUAGAGCACUGUUUCGGCAAGGGGGUCAUCCCCGACUUACCAACCCGAUGCAAACUGCGAAUACCGGAGAAUGUUAUCACGGGAGACACACGGCGGGUGCUAACGUCCGUCGUGAAGAGGGAAACAACCCAGACCGCCAGCUAAGGUCCCAAAGUCAUGGUUAAGUGGGAAACGAUGUGGGAAGGCCCAGACAGCCAGGAUGUUGGCUUAGAAGCAGCCAUCAUUUAAAGAAAGCGUAAUAGCUCACUGGUCGAGUCGGCCUGCGCGGAAGAUGUAACGGGGCUAAACCAUGCACCGAAGCUGCGGCAGCGACACUAUGUGUUGUUGGGUAGGGGAGCGUUCUGUAAGCCUGCGAAGGUGGCCUGUGAGGGUUGCUGGAGGUAUCAGAAGUGCGAAUGCUGACAUAAGUAACGAUAAAGCGGGUGAAAAGCCCGCUCGCCGGAAGACCAAGGGUUCCUGUCCAACGUUAAUCGGGGCAGGGUGAGUCGACCCCUAAGGCGAGGCCGAAAGGCGUAGUCGAUGGGAAACAGGUUAAUAUUCCUGUACUUGGUGUUACUGCGAAGGGGGGACGGAGAAGGCUAUGUUGGCCGGGCGACGGUUGUCCCGGUUUAAGCGUGUAGGCUGGUUUUCCAGGCAAAUCCGGAAAAUCAAGGCUGAGGCGUGAUGACGAGGCACUACGGUGCUUGAGCAACAAAUGCCCUGCUUCCAGGAAAAGCCUCUAAGCAUCAGGUAACAUCAAAUCGUACCCCAAACCGACACAGGUGGUCAGGUAGAGAAUACCAAGGCGCUUGCGGUAAUACGGAGGGUGCAAGCGUUAAUCGGAAUUACUGGGCGUAAAGCGCACGCAGGCGGUUUGUUAAGUCAGAUGUGAAAUCCCCGGGCUCAACCUGGGAACUGCAUCUGAUACUGGCAAGCUUGAGUCUCGGUAGGGGGGGUAGAAUUCCAGGUGUAGCGGUGAAAUGCGUAGAGAUCUGGAGGAAUACCGGUGGCGAAGGCGGCCCCCUGGACGAAGACUGACGCUCAGGUGCGAAAGCGUGGGGAGCAAACAGGAUUAGAUACCCUGGUAGUCCACGCCGUAAACGAUGUCGACUUGGAGGUUGUGCCCUUGAGGCGUGGCUUCCGGAGCUAACGCGUUAAGUCGACCGCCUGGGGAGUACGGCCGCAAGGUUAAAACUCAAAUGAAUUGACGGGGGCCCGCACAAGCGGUGGAGCAUGUUGGUUAAUUCGAUGCAACGCGAAGAACCUUACCUGGUCUUGACAUCCACAGAACUUUCCAGAGAUGGAUUGGUGCCUUCGGGAACUGUGAGACAGGUGCUGCAUGGCUGUCGUCAGCUCGUGUUGUGAAAUGUUGGGUUAAGUCCCGCAACGAGCGCAACCCUUAUCCUUUGUUGCCAGCGGUCCGGCCGGGAACUCAAAGGAGACUGCCAGUGAUAAACUGGAGAAGGUGGGGAUGACGUCAAGUCAUCAUGGCCCUUACGACCAGGGCUACACCACGUGCUACAAUGGCGCAUACAAAGAGAAGCGACCUCGCGAGAGCAAGCGGACUCAUAAAGUGCGUCGUAGGUCCGGAUUGGAGUCUGCAACUCGACUCCAUGAAGUCGGAAUCGCUAGUAAUCGUGGGAUCAGAAUGCCACGGUGAAUACGUUCCCGGGCCUUGUACACACCGCCCGUCACACCAUGGGAGUGGGUUGCAAAAGAAGUAGGUAGCUUAACCUUCGGGAGGGCGCUUACCACUUUGUGAUUCAUGACUGGGGUGAAGUCGUAACAAGGUAACCGUAGGGGAACCUGCGGUUGGAUCACCUCCUUACCUUAAAGAAGCGUUCUUUGAAGUGCUCACACAGAUUGUCUGAUAGAAAGUGAAAAGCAAGGCGUCUUGCGAAGCAGACUGACACGUCCCCUUCGUCUAGAGGCCCAG